Marmota flaviventris (yellow-bellied marmot) is the source of this 555-nucleotide long non-coding RNA. RefSeq lists it as uncharacterized. Lineage: Eukaryota; Metazoa; Chordata; Mammalia; Rodentia; Sciuridae. The record is from RefSeq and is a predicted model, not a curated record.
CCUCCCGGAAGCAGGGGUGGAGAGUGUGGCUGUCCUGGGAGAGGGUCCGCGAGCCUCCAGCUCACCCAGGGCGAGGGGAGCACUUCAGUGAUUGCUGUGUGUCCAGGAGGUCUUGAGGACGGCUUUCAGAGCAGUAGGCCAUAGCUGGAUGCUGGGCAGAGGACUGGGCAGGACCUGGCUGCAAGAAGGCUGUUGGUGUGAAGCUGUGUGAGAUUCCUGUGGACCAUCACAUAGCGCAGGCUGCUCCAUCCCGGCCCAGGGGCUUCUGUGGCUGGGCUGGUGUCAUCUCAGUCACCAGGGGACAGAGCAAAGAUCCCCACUGCUGCAGUUCUGGAAGAGGAAGACGAGCACAACAGCAGGUUGCAAAGGCAGCUCGUUCUCGGCGGCGUCCACUGGGUGGCAGUGUUCACCCGCUCAGAGACGGGACCGGCCCUGGAACCCCGGAGCCGCGCUUACUUCCCUCGCCCGCCCCCGGCCAGCCUCCUCGGUUGCUUCGGCGGAAGAUCGUCGGGAGAUGACGUCAUCAUGUAAAUUGGCCAAUCUCCUGUGCACACA